CCUACGGGAGGCAGCAGUGAGGAAUAUUGGUCAAUGGACGGAAGUCUGAACCAGCCAUGCCGCGUGCAGGAAGACGGCUCUAUGAGUUGUAAACUGCUUUUGUACAAGGGUAAACCUGAAUACGUGUAUUCAGCUGAAAGUACUGUACGAAUAAGGAUCGGCUAACUCCGUGCCAGCAGCCGCGGUAAUACGAAGGGGGCAAGCGUUGUUCGGAAUUACUGGGCGUAAAGGGUGUGUAGGCGGGAAAGUAAGAUAGUGGUGAAAUGCCUGAGCUCAACUUGGGAACUGCCAUUAUAACUAUUUUUCUAGAGUGACAGAGAGGAUAUUGGAAUACCCAGUGUAGAGGUGAAAUCCGUAGAUAUUGGGUAGAACACCGGAGGCGAAGGCGAGUAUCUGGCUGUCAACUGACGCUGAGGCACGAAAGCAUGGGGAUCAAACAGGAUUAGAUACCCCAGUAGUC
RNAcentral lists this ribosomal RNA (460 nucleotides) under uncultured bacterium. RNAcentral describes it as "partial 16S ribosomal RNA". It matches the Rfam family "Bacterial small subunit ribosomal RNA", at positions 338 to 795 of the family's 1533-position model. The record is from RNAcentral.